CAUAGAUCAUUGUUUCAGUGCUCAUGCACUUCCUCAGAGCGAUGCCAAGUGCUCUCUAUAAAUAAAAUGAGCUAUGGUUUCUUGUACCCAUUUAAUAGAAAAAACAACUGAGGCUCAGAGGGAUUCACUAUCAUGCUUAGGCAUUUCCCCGAAGUUGCACAGCUAGUAAGCGAUGACUGAGGAUUUCACUCCAAGUGUCUGAUUCAGAAGCCGCACUCCUGAUCACGACGUGAGCAUGAACUAGAAUCAAUACACUCACAAACACGGCGUCGUCAAGGCGGCCGUUGCUGACACAAACUGGAAGGUUCUCAUGGCAACGGAGACGUGGCCGCCUGGCCGCCUCUACACCGAGGUUAAAUGUCCCCUUGCUCGUGAGGUUUGACGUGACCUCCAGCUAAGGUUACUACGAAGUCGUACCUCCCGCGUGUCUCAAACUCCGCAGCUGUCGCAGGACGUUAGGUGUCUGGCUCGUUCUACUAGAACGUUUCCUUUCUGAAAUGAUUUUUGAAUUAUGUGGUUCAAACGAAUAUAAAACUUUAAAGGUGAGGGGACACAGAUGUUUCAUCUGAAUACAGUUGACUCAGUUACUGAAGAUGUGGCUGAAAUGGAAAGGUUAUCCAGAACACCACAGAAGUAUGUCAUUGGGGGGAGGCGGAGAAAGGAUGUCAUUGGAUUAGACUGACGGUGUCCUUCUCCAGGAGGUAAGAGGGCCUGGAACUUGAUGUACUCACUGGGACGCUAUCCUAGGGAUUGAGAUCAUUUGUAGGU
RNAcentral lists this long non-coding RNA (768 nucleotides) under Ursus maritimus (polar bear). RNAcentral describes it as "lncRNA (ENSUMAG00000013301.1)". The record is from RNAcentral. Lineage: Eukaryota; Metazoa; Chordata; Mammalia; Carnivora; Ursidae.